AAGCGCACAAUUCAGUUUUGCAUAUGAAAAGUUUGACGUAUCCCGUGUGGUCAUUUUUUUCUUUUAAUGUACAAGAAUAGAGGUGUAGAGUUAAGAUCAAGCAGCCAAAAGUUACCUGUGAAUUAGUUUGUGAUGUAUUAUGGAUGCAUGGAUCUUCAACGAAGAACUUAUCUUACGUGAAGCUUCAGAAAAGAACGCCAAAAAAGAGUCUCAACGUCUUUGAAUUUGAAUUAUGAUUCUACGGCAUGAGAAACUCAAUAGUGUUUUCUGGCUGAAUCCGCCACGAGAAUCAAACUGAAGAGAAUUUGACAGCCUCUAUGUCCUAAUAUCAUCC
This is a long non-coding RNA of Crotalus tigris (Tiger rattlesnake), 334 nucleotides long. RefSeq lists it as uncharacterized. The transcript is spliced from 3 exons. NCBI's taxonomy places the organism in Eukaryota, Metazoa, Chordata, Lepidosauria, Squamata, Viperidae. The record is from RefSeq and is a predicted model, not a curated record.